Molecule: ribosomal RNA, 253 nt
Filed under: uncultured prokaryote
Description: partial 16S ribosomal RNA
Rfam family: Bacterial small subunit ribosomal RNA
Source: RNAcentral
UACGUAGGGUGCGAGCGUUAAUCGGAAUUACUGGGCGUAAAGCGUGCGCAGGCGGUUCGCCAAGUCAGGUGUGAAAUCCCCGGGCUUAACCUGGGAAUGGCAUUUGGGACUGCAAGGCUGGAGUGUGGCAGAGGAGACUGGAAUUCCCGGUGUAGCAGUGAAAUGCGUAGAUAUCGGGAGGAAUACCGAUGGCGAAGGCAGGUCUCUGGGCUGACACUGACGCUCAUGCACGAAAGCGUGGGGAGCAAACAGG